CCACUGAGAAAAAUCGUAUUUAAACACACGUAAAAAAUACGAUAUUUCUACGUGUGAAAAUAUCAUUUGUUGUAAAACGUAUUGCCACGGACGUUUUUUUGUUUUUCACUUAAUUUUUUUUAUAUAAUAAACAGAAAAAUACAUGGGUGCUUGGAAAUACCAGAUUUAUUUCUCGUGUUGAACAUGAUAUCUCACUCGUUCGCUGCGCUCACUCGUGAGAUAUCAUGUUCAACACUCGAAAUAAAUCCGGUAUUUCCGCGCAUCCAUGUAUUAUUCUCUAUAUCAUUAAUAUUUUGUAAGUCACAUCUACAGGCAUUGAUUUUUAAAUAUCCACACCACCCAUCCUCACAAUCAGAUUCUGAUGACAUAGAGUCAGACUGAGAAGAUGAUGUUUCCAAUUGUUUUUUUAACAAAAAAAUCAAGUGUACAUUGUUUUUUCCCCACAACUGUUGUUUUUCACUUUCUUUUGACUUGUUACUUGUUUUUUCUUCUUCAAUGAAGUUACAAUUUCAUUUACUUGUUCUACAGCAUCAUCUUCAAAAUAAUUCUUGGCAAUUAAAGUUUUUAAUGCUGUCAUAUGGUACCUUGGUUUAAGUUGUUUAAUAGGCUCAAGCACACACAUCUACUUGAGAUUUUUUCAGCACCAUUCUCCAGAGACUCGUACUUGAUUCUGCCACUUGUAAUAAUCUUUGUGACAUCACACGCUCUUGCGUUUUCUCUUGCAUUAUUUCUCUCAGACUCUCAUCUCUGCAUCACUUUUGGAGGAAAUUUUCCGAUCCUACAG
This is a non-coding RNA of Paramuricea clavata, 784 nucleotides long. The record is from the annotation of a GenBank genome assembly. NCBI's taxonomy places the organism in Eukaryota, Metazoa, Cnidaria, Anthozoa, Malacalcyonacea, Plexauridae.